AGGACGAACGCUGGCGGCGUGCUUAACACAUGCAAGUCGAGCGGAAAGGCCCUUCGGGGUACUCGAGCGGCGAACGGGUGAGUAACACGUGAGCAACCUGCCCUUAGCUCUGGGAUAGCUCCGGGAAACCGGAAUUAAUACCGGAUAUGACCUAGGCCGACAUCGGCCGUGGUGGAAAGUUUUUCGGCUAGGGAUGGACUCGCGGCCUAUCAGCUAGUUGGUGGGGUAAUGGCCUACCAAGGCGACGACGGGUAGCCGGCCUGAGAGGGCGACCGGCCACACUGGGACUGAGACACGGCCCAGACUCCUACGGGAGGCAGCAGUGGGAAUCUUGCGCAAUGGGCGAAAGCCUGACGCAGCGACGCCGCGUGGGGGAUGAAGGCCUUCGGGUUGUAAACCCCUUUCAGCAGGGACGAAGCGAAAGUGACGGUACCUGCAGAAGAAGCGCCGGCUAACUACGUGCCAGCAGCCGC
RNAcentral lists this ribosomal RNA (473 nucleotides) under uncultured bacterium. Its description in RNAcentral is "SSU rRNA". It matches the Rfam family "Bacterial small subunit ribosomal RNA", at positions 26 to 518 of the family's 1533-position model. The record is from RNAcentral.